RNAcentral lists this long non-coding RNA (1580 nucleotides) under Solanum tuberosum (potato). Its description in RNAcentral is "long non-coding RNA (STUB_LNC009334)". Lineage: Eukaryota; Viridiplantae; Streptophyta; Magnoliopsida; Solanales; Solanaceae. The record is from RNAcentral.
UGAUGUUAAAAUUAUAGUUUUGCAAGUUUUAUACGAGAAAUUUAAAUUCUUUGCGAGUUUAAGCGAAUUUGUUAUUUAAUCAAGGGCAAUUUCGAGAUUUGCAUAGGGCAUGGGAUCAUGCUAUUCUUGGGAGACGUUCUUGAACACAAAAACUAUCUUUUAACUCAUUUUAAAAUCCAAUUUCUCAUUUAAAAAAUCACAAGUAGAUUGUACGAAUCCAAGCAGUUUCAUAACUUAAAAAUUAAAAAUAAUGGCUACAAUAACUCCCAAUUCAAUCUCAUUCUCAAUCUUACCCUCAGUUAAUCCUCUUUUCUCCUUCCUCUCCCUCUCUCCAAUCCUCUCUCCUUUUCGCCGCCGGAAACCGCUUUCCUUCAAAAAAUACGACUCUUAUUCGGACUCCAAUGGAUGAGGAACAUGCAAUCGGUCUGAUAAGAACAUUGAGAGAGAGUUCCCUUAGAAUCUUUCCAGUGAGCCAAUUCCAGAGAGCAUUUUGCCCAAUAUACUAAAGUAAGUGUUUUAAGUUGAAAAUAUUAUAGCAAUUUAACAUUAGUAUAUAUGGAUAGGUAGAAAUUUGAACUCCUAUUUUAAGUUAUUCUUGUCUAACUUUCCAUCAACAUCUCUUCUUCUGUUUUCCACAAUACUUUUCAAAGAGAGAAACUAUUAUAUGACCAAGUAAAUUGAGGAUAAAAUAAUAAAUGAACAACAAAGACAUGAUGUUACUCCAUUUCAUCUCCAUGUGACAAGAAGGGACACCAAUUAUGACAACAGUUAUGGUACGUUUGGAAUAGAGGAAACCAAGCUCCAUGGAAUCUAUACAAUCAUAAAAGGUCAAUAUUCCGAGUUAGUGAUUAGUUGUCACUUCUGAUAUUUUUAAACUUGUUAGGUACACAAUAGUUUUCACAUUAAGUUAACGAGGGAUCAAAAACCAUCAAUAUUCCAUUCCACCUAAGGAAAUAAGGGAUGCGGUAAUGUAACUAGUGGACGAUGACUUGUAAGCCUUUAAGCCAAUUUCCUCAAAGACUAUGUAACAAAUCUAAAUUCGCAACACAAAUACUCAAGUAAUAUGUAAUCAUUGAUAGCCAAAUCACGAAGGCAACACUUCAACUAUAGAAUUACAAUGGAAAAUACUGAAAUAACAAGUAACUAAAGAUAGAGAUAAGAAUGUGGAUGAAAAGCUUAGACUCUAGAAAGAGAUGGGAGAAACAAACAAUUUCUUUCACAAUCUGCAUAUAUAAACUCCCAAAACCGCAAUGCUUACCCCUUUAUCUCUACUCAACCUGGAUUCCAAGCAAACCUAUUGUUGGGCUGUCUUAUCCACUUCGUGGUUUAGCCUCGGGCCCAACAGCUUGUCUAACCUCUCGGCUAUCCGUGAUCACAACAGACUAGAAGGGGAAAAAGAUUAUGAUAAAUCGAGAUUGAUGAACAAUUGAAUCACAAGAUGAGUACUACUCAUUUCUAACAACUUGUUACUCAUAUUUUGUAGUGUUCUACAAGACUUGUUAGAGGACAGAGGAGACUUAACAAAAUAAUACUCCAUAUGUCCUCAUUUUCUCUAGAUGUUGUGUUCAUUUCGAGGUCAU